Molecule: ribosomal RNA, 254 nt
Filed under: uncultured bacterium
Lineage: Bacteria
Description: partial 16S ribosomal RNA
Rfam family: Bacterial small subunit ribosomal RNA
Source: RNAcentral
CUAAGUUUGAUGGCGACCGGCGCACGGGUGAGUAACACGUAUCCAACCUGCCGAUGACUCGGGGAUAGCCUUUCGAAAGAAAGAUUAAUACCCGAUGGUAUAAUAAAACCGCAUGGUUUAAUUAUUAAAGAAUUUCGGUUAUCGAUGGGGAUGCGUUCCAUUAGGCAGUUGGUGAGGUAACGGCUCACCAAACCUUCGAUGGAUAGGGGUUCUGAGAGGAAGGUCCCCCACAUUGGAACUGAGACACGGUCCAA